UGACUGAUGAACUUCUGUCAGCGUUAAACUUUGUGUUUCAAGCGCCGUUAUUACCUGCCCUUGACUUGGUGGACAACAGUCAUGUGACACGUCUCGUCUCUCCAUCAGGACGCUGUUUGUUCCAGGUUGUGGGAAGUUCAGGGACUCCCUAUGUCUGCCUGCCCUCCUCCAUCUACUGUGCCUGUCCAGCCUUCAAGUUCUCAGGUAGGUGAGGCUCCAGAGGGGCAUUCUCACUGGAUGAGAAAAGCACUAGACUUAGCUCACGAGGCUCUAGAAGCUGGGGAGGUACCAGUAGGAUGUAUCUUUGUUUUUGAAGAAGCGAUUAUUGCUAAAGGAAGGAAUGAAGUGAACGAAACUAAAAACGCGACGAGACAUGCGGAGAUGGUGGCAGCUGAUCACGUGAUGAAGUGGUGUGAGAAAAAUGGACGAAAGAAAGAGGACGUCUUUGCACGUUUGACUCUGUAUGUGACGGUUGAGCCGUGCAUCAUGUGCGCGGGAGCUCUGAGACUCUUGGGCAUCCCCUUGGUGGUGUACGGCUGUAAUAAUGAGCGUUUUGGUGGUUGCGGAUCAGUUUUACACGUCGACACGGAUGUUAUCCCGGACCAGGGGCCACCAUUACAGUGUGUCCGAGGUGUAUUCGCUGAGGAGGCUGUACAGCUGUUAAAAGACUUUUACAAGGGAGAGAAUCCAAAUGCACCUGAUGAAAAACGUAAAGUGAAGAAAUGAGUUUCGGAGUUGAAACGGAUAAGUAAUGGGAAACAGGCCUCAUUUGUGGCCUGGACCAAAUUAUGUGGGCUGUAUCCUUAUAUCCUCCCCUGAAUAAAAUCUAGAUGGUGCGUAUCUUGGUCAAGGGACAUAACUUCUAGUAUUGCCUCCCACUGUUUAAUUCGGGCUCGGUGUACAGGAUAGCUGUGCUAUCAAAGUAACCAGUUACAACUUUUGUACUGUUACCACUGAACAAGAAUUGUGGGUUGCAAAGAAAUAAUUUGCACAGUUUUAUGAAGCUUGCACCUUUAUUUGUGACACAAACAAAUCAUUUUGGCAUCAUUUUGAUAAUAAUUGUAUGCACAAAUUCCAUUGAAAAAAGUGAGUUAUAGGUAGAAAAGGUUGAAGAUUUACAGUAUGUAUUUGUAGGGCAAUUUUGAACAGUACAAGUACUAGCUUAGUCUGUUAUGAUCAGUUAUUAGACUAACACAGACUAUUGUGGACAGUGACAAGCCAUUUAUUGUGUAACUUCUUUGUUUUUGUCUCUUUCAUGUUCUUUGUCAGUACUGAAGAAAAAUGAUCACAUAAUGUGUAAGCAUGUGUUAGCAGUGAAGUUGUCUGAGGCUAUGGGCAAAACACAGAGGUAUGAUGUGAGUGACCGUGAGAUUACCAACCUUCUCACACACCUGGACUGACCUCUCAGAUCACCAGGG
Liolophura sinensis is the source of this 1418-nucleotide RNA transcript. It is a transcript of the gene named zinc finger SWIM domain-containing protein 7-like, with no coding region annotated. The record is from RefSeq and is a predicted model, not a curated record. Lineage: Eukaryota; Metazoa; Mollusca; Polyplacophora; Chitonida; Chitonidae. The transcript is spliced from 4 exons.